GAUGCAGCGGGUAUCGACCCCUGCUGUGUCGUAGCUAACGCGUUAAGUAUUCCGCCUGGGGAGUACGGCCGCAAGGCUAAAACUCAAAGAAAUUGACGGGGGCCCGCACAAGCGGUGGAGCAUGUGGUUUAAUUCGAUGCAACGCGCAGAACCUCACCUGGGCUUGAAAUCCUCGGACCGCUAUAGAGAUAUAGUUUUCCACUUCGGUGGACUGAGUGACAGGUGCUGCAUGGCUGUCGUCAGCUCGUGUCGUGAGAUGUCAGGUUAAGUCCUAUAACGAGCGCAACCCUUGUUGCUAGUUGCCAGCAUUCAGUUGGGCACUCUAGUGAGACUGCCGGUGUCAAACCGGAGGAAGGUGGGGAUGACGUCAAGUCCUCAUGGCCCUUAUGCCCAGGGCUACACACGUGCUACAAUGAUCGGUACAAAGAGCAGCCAACUCGCGAGAGUGCGCAAAUCUCAAAAAACCGACCUCAGUACGGAUUGGAGUCUGCAACUCGACUCCAUGAAGGUGGAAUCGCUAGUAAUCGUAGAUCAGCAUGCUACGGUGAAUACGUUCCCGGGCCUUGUACACACCGCCCGUCACACCAUGGGAGUUGACUACUCCAGAAGUCGUUGAGCUAACCCGCAAGGGAGGCAGGCGCCCAAGGAGUGGUUGGUAACUGGGGUGAAGUCGUAACAAGGUAGCCG
Molecule: ribosomal RNA, 687 nt
Filed under: uncultured bacterium
Lineage: Bacteria
Description: bacterial SSU rRNA
Rfam family: Bacterial small subunit ribosomal RNA
Source: RNAcentral